This is a long non-coding RNA of Spinacia oleracea (spinach), 1431 nucleotides long. RefSeq lists it as uncharacterized. The record is from RefSeq and is a predicted model, not a curated record. The transcript has 7 exons. NCBI's taxonomy places the organism in Eukaryota, Viridiplantae, Streptophyta, Magnoliopsida, Caryophyllales, Amaranthaceae.
CUCGUCUAUUUUGUGCAAUUUUUUCAUGAUUAUGGUUUAAAUAAAGUGUCCGGUGUCCAUACCCAUGUCCAAAUUUGAGGAACCGACGGGUAGUUGAGGUAAAUUGAAUAGUGCAAGUAACAUAAAUUUUUUUUUUUUUUUUGAGACUGUGUUAUUCCCUAUUUGUUGGAGAACAGUCUUGAUCAUUUGACACGGCAGGCAAUAUUAACAUCUUUGGCAUAUUCCCUUGCCGUCCUCCUAUCAAUUAUUUAAUGAGUUGAGAUGGACUAUAGAGUAUAGACUAUAGAGAGAUUAAUACUUUUUCCGUCCAUUUUUGUUUUUUAUGCUUUGAUAGUGUACAAUCUAAGCUCCAAUGUACACUUUUAAUCAUGACUAGUUGAAUACUACCUUAAUUAUUUAUAUACGAGUUAAGUUUAUGAAAGGUUGAUAUGCUGAAAUUACAUAUUGAAACAAAUCUAAUAAAAUUUAAAUAACAAAGAAAGUAGUCCGUUAAUACUUGUAAAUUCCUGGAUGUUGCUGUAUGGAUAAUAGUUCUCGACUUUCCUCUUUCAGUAUGCGGAGUAACAUAUUUUGUUAGAAUAUUUCUUGAAUCGGUCAAGCCCCUUACCGCAACACCCCUAACACUUGUAUUUUAUAAUAUGUACUCCUCAAGAUCAAUAAAACUUUCCCCUCCUCUGCCGGUGAACGUUAACACAUUGUUAGUGAACCACGUUAAAUAUUUGUGUUCUUUAUUUACGUUAUUUAUAAUCUUUCUUGCUUCCGUUGUAACAUAUUUGAUGAGUGAUUUGUGGUGGGUUGACAUGCAGCGUAGUCAAGAAGAAGUUGACAAAGUUUCUGCUUUGGCAAAGAGAGGCACAAAAACUCUUGAGCUGGAUGAGAUUUGGAUCUCUACAAAGUGUUGACUUGGCAAGAGUUGACCUUCAAACAUGGCCUUGUGUUUAUUGGUGCUGAUUGUUGAAUAAAAUUAUCACUGGAUUUAUUACAUUCACAUUCUGGAAGAUCAUGCCCCAAAUACAAAAGUGUGGACAAUUUUCCACCAUUUUCCCCAAAGUGGUAGGUAAGGGACAAUGUUCUAACGGGUCGAAAUCUCACUCAAGUCAACCAGAGACAUAAUAAGGGUAUUGGUUUGGCAUUAAUUUCCACCAUUGAUGAUAGCUUGUACGUAUUGAGGGAUCGAAAAUCAAGUCACUAAAGAAAACUGAAAACAAAAAACGUGAAGUCCGUACCUUGUGGAUAGUGUAGUACGGUGCCCAAACAUGUUGGACAGCUUCGAAUCUGUCGAAGAGUUCAGGUGGAAAUGCAGAAAGGUACCCUGUUUUCAUUGCAUCUUGACACUCUUUAAGGGCAGAAACUAAUGAAGUCAUCUUUGCUUUAAGAGUCUCAUUAUGUGUACUUGCCCACAUUUGUGCCGUUGCACUUAAGUAAUGCCCU